This is a long non-coding RNA of Cyprinus carpio carpio, 1715 nucleotides long. The record is from Ensembl. NCBI's taxonomy places the organism in Eukaryota, Metazoa, Chordata, Actinopteri, Cypriniformes, Cyprinidae.
AAAAUUUUGAUUUAAUUUUAGUGUUUUAAUUUAGACAAAAUAGUAUAUCAUAGUAUCAUAUGUUAUUGUGUGCAUUGUUUUUCAGUUAAAGUAAUUAUUACAUUAUUCAGCAUGGCUGCAUCAAAUUGAUCAAAGUUGACAGUAAAGACUUCUACAUAAAACCCCCCCCAACCCCAAACAUCUGAAAGCUUUUGUGUAAGAAAGUAUAAAAAGUUAAGUAUAAUUAUCAGUAUAAAUGAAUGAAUGAAUGAAUGAGUGAGUGAAUGAAUGAAUGAAUGAAUGAACACAGUAGCACAGUGUAUAAUUAAAGAAAUAUUGUACUACUGCACUGAAUUAUCAUGAGCGAAAUAAAAUGUUUUUAAUAUACCAAAUUAAAGUACAUGAUUUCUACCUUGUGUCCCUCAAGUGAACAGUUUUCCUUGGCUGUUAUCGUAUUUUUAUGACAGAAAGAACCAACAGUUAGUUGACAAGGGGGGUGUAAAUAAUUCAUGUUUCUCUGAGGAGAAGAGAGGGUUGUUGCUUUUUGUCUUGUUUUGUUUUUCAAGUCCUCUCACACUACUGAUAUAUACAGAUUUUAUAUUUGAUGUCAGAAAGCAAGUUUAUGGUGUUGUGGGCUAUUUUUGCAUACACCGUUUGUGAAUAUUGUCAAUGUAAAUUGUGCCUUCGACAGAAUUUUGCAUAAUUUGCAAAGAUAAAACAGAAUCGUCUUCUAUUUGAAAAUACUAUAAAAAAAUAAGUUAUAUAUAUAUGCAGGAUCACAGGUAAGAUGGGACUGGAUCAUAUUAUGUAUGCAUAUACAGUAUGUAUCCAAUGUAAAAAGAAUCUGCUCUUCUGUUAUGUUACAGAGUCAACAAGCACCAGCUGCUUUUGAUGGACAGGGGAUCCAGCAGUGUUUGCCCAGCUUCCAGUGAAUAUUGACGAAAUUGGAUUCAGAGUGACAAUUGAAGAGGGAUCUGGGGGCCGGCAGUUUGGUCAUUAAUGACCUCUCCAUAACAGGUGUCUCGCCUAUCUGACAGAAAGGAGGAGGAGAAGCCAGUUCUGUGAAGAACAAUGGAAGAGAGCUGCAAUCCAAAGCCUCAUGAAUAGCUGAAAACCUAAAUCUAACCUGCAGUCUUAUUUUUCUGAAAAUUGCAUGUUUUAUCUGUCAGAUCACUUAACUGAAAUUGUAUAGGUAUAAUUUACAAGUGAUAGCUACUACAUGCUCAGUAAUAAAUUUUUUCAGCCCAUUCAAUCAAGGACACUCUAUACAUAAUUAUACAACAGUUACAAUCGUUUUGGUCCUCUACACAUGGUAUAUUUUUUUUAUAUCUGAACAGCAGCAUUACAUGGUUUAUCACUCAAAUCUUUGGUGCCCUUUAAAAAAAUGGAACAAUUAAAACAAUUUUCAAUUAGAACUUGGUAGUAAAUUUUACAAAUAAGUAUGUUAAAAUUAAAUAUUAAUAAAGAAUAAUUCAUAAAGAAAAGGCAAGAAACACAUUGAAUUAAACAUGACAUAUCAAAGUAGAAUGACUAAAAUAGUAUUUUCUUGUGAAAUAUAUACAUAUAUGUAUGAUUCAGACUGUUGAUGCUACUUUUGCUUCUUUUUUAGCUAUUUUUGUUAGCGAAAUAGUAUAGUAUUGUGUCUAAAAUGUAACUUAGUCAAUAUCAUGUAUAAAAUAUAGUUAAACAAUAUUUCUUAAAUCAGUGCGCAAAUUAUGCAGUUACUUUCAAGGUGG